CACACAUGGGUGGGCCAAUUUGGCGACGGCGGAGCCGGGCGGCGGUCUCAAGCUCCGUUUAUGAUCUGUCGCUUCCGCUGCGUAAGCAAUCAACAAACCCUUGAGGGAGUCUCAUCGAGAUUCUUUCGGCGUUGCGUUUGAUCGUUCUAAGAAGCGGGCUCCAACAGUCUCGGUGUGGACUCUUUGAGUUCUGGGUUUCUUGGAUGGGGUUUCGUUACGGUCCCCUUUUGAUUUCCGGAGCAGCCGAGGCUUUGUCGGAGUUGAUCGUCUGGAUGGAUUUCAGUUCUGAGACUUGUGCACCGUAGGGUUUCUUGAACUGACCACAUUAAUGACGAUACUCUUCUCGAAUGGAUUUAUUUGGCGCUUCUGUUGAUGACGGUCCUAGUCUGUUAACAGGAGGAUAAAUGCCAGCAUUCUGAGCCGAAUGAAUUAAGUAAAGGUGCACGCCAAAAGAUUAUAUCAUCGGACUAUACCAUUGAUCCGAGUACACAUGGAGAGGAUGAGCCUUGGUAUCGCGGUUACUUUCCUCGUUGACAAGAUGGAUUACCAAGAUUCGAGUCAUAGAAACAGUGUUUCUGCUUAUAAGGAAUGGGGUCUACGCCAACAGACAUCUCAGUGUUGCCCAACAUACAUGUGUCUGCUUUUGGUAAAGUGUUAAUCCCUUUUGCAUAGAGUAUUAUGAUAUGUUCAGCAUGGGGCCGCAUGACAGUCCGUGAUGCAAGUGUUGAGUUACCUAGCAGUUAUAGGUGGGAUUUGUGGAUAUUGGAUCACAUUCUUUUUCUAGUAACAAGAUAAUUAUUGCAGGCCACCAUGUCAUCUGAUAGAACAGACCUUGGCUUCAUUGCCAUCUCAUACUCGAGAUUUCCUCUGGUUGCUUCUCCAGAGAAGCUCUACAAAAUCUUCGAAAGGUGUCAGAAAAAGCUUCUUUGCUAAUCACAGGUUCUUCGACGUAUUAAAGAGUAACCGCUUGUCGGUGUGAUGAAAGACCUCCUUUUAUAGGUUGUCAUUUAAGCACUGCUAUAAACAUAUACAUAUUUCAUCAUGUGAGCGGUGUGAUUUUAAUCCUUUGUUUCUGUUCUCGUGUCGCUGUAGCAGCUAUUAAUUCCUUCAGACGUUGACCAAUAAUGAGGUCUUGUUGCCCACUAUGUUUCGUGCCAUAAAUCGUGUUCUUAAGUAAUAUGUCGAUGUCAUGUAUACACUAUUUAAGGUCCAACCCAUGGUCUCGGUCAGCAU
Long non-coding RNA from Musa acuminata AAA Group (dessert banana), 1233 nucleotides. RefSeq lists it as uncharacterized. NCBI's taxonomy places the organism in Eukaryota, Viridiplantae, Streptophyta, Magnoliopsida, Zingiberales, Musaceae. The record is from RefSeq and is a predicted model, not a curated record. The transcript is spliced from 7 exons.